RNAcentral lists this ribosomal RNA (402 nucleotides) under Triticum aestivum (bread wheat). Its description in RNAcentral is "partial small subunit ribosomal RNA". The record is from RNAcentral. Lineage: Eukaryota; Viridiplantae; Streptophyta; Magnoliopsida; Poales; Poaceae.
AUGGUGCAGUCGAUGUCCUCAACAACGAGAAUGGACCGGUUGGUCAUCCCGACGAGAAGCCUCCUGAGGUCCGAGUUGGAAUUGACCCCGGUCAGCUCGAGGUCGUAAAUGUCAAACCUGAGGUGGUUGGCAAUGGCGGCGAUGAGGCUGGACUUGCCGGUGCCCGGCGGGCCGUACAACAGGUCGUCGACAAUUGACUGCUUCUGCUUCUGGUCCAUGGCUAGCGUGUCAAACGUGGAGGGAUGUUGGAGGUCAAUUGGGGACCACUCGUCGUAGCGUUCGUUCAUGUAGAUGCUGAGGCUCCUCUCCUGGUCCUUGAUGGCCUUAGCCGUGGUGACGAUGAAUGGGAGAUACUCUUUCAGGGCCUUCUCCUUGUGCCUCUUGUUGAAGCUCACCUCGUAG